This 65-nucleotide transfer RNA is filed under the name Dipodomys ordii (Ord's kangaroo rat). It matches the Rfam family "tRNA". From Rfam's summary of the family: Transfer RNA (tRNA) molecules are approximately 80 nucleotides in length. The record is from Rfam by way of RNAcentral. Lineage: Eukaryota; Metazoa; Chordata; Mammalia; Rodentia; Heteromyidae.
GGUGGCUCACUGGUAGAGUGCUUGCCUUGCAUGCACGAGGCCCUGGGUUCGAUUCCUCAGCACCA